CUGGAUGAUGAUGAGAUUUGGCCCUUAGUUCAUACAUUCUAUAACCCUCAAUUUGUGGGCCAUCUUAUCUUUGUCCCUUUGCUGGAUGCUAAUUGGUGGGCAUACAUUAUAUUGCUGGUCCAUCUGCCAUGGCUUCCUAUUUCACGUCUCUGAGCUGUGGGUAUUAUGAGGUCCCAACUAAUAUUUCAAUGAUCAAACUCACUGAUGGAAAUGGUUGGCACGAGUUAUAUAUGGGACACAUCUGGCAUGGAUUAACUUAUUUGCUUACUCGAUAUUGUGGGUCCAAUCGAUUCCCAAAUGAUGUUAUAAUGAAUAAUAUUACUGA
This 325-nucleotide long non-coding RNA is filed under the name Elaeis guineensis (African oil palm). RNAcentral describes it as "long non-coding RNA (EGUI_LNC073716)". Lineage: Eukaryota; Viridiplantae; Streptophyta; Magnoliopsida; Arecales; Arecaceae. The record is from RNAcentral.